This 460-nucleotide ribosomal RNA is filed under the name uncultured bacterium. RNAcentral's name for it is "partial 16S ribosomal RNA". It matches the Rfam family "Bacterial small subunit ribosomal RNA", at positions 338 to 795 of the family's 1533-position model. The record is from RNAcentral.
CCUACGGGAGGCAGCAGUGAGGAAUAUUGGUCAAUGGGCGCGAGCCUGAACCAGCCAAGUAGCGUGAAGGAUGACUGCCCUACGGGUUGUAAACUGCUUUUAUAAGGGAAUAAAGUGCGGCACGUGUGCCUUUUUGUAUAUACUUUAUGAAUAAAGGUCGUGUAACUCCGUGCCAGCAGCGGCGGUAAUACGGGGGAUCCGAGCGUUUUCCGGAUUUUUUGGGUUUAAAGGGAGCGUAGAUGGGGUGUUAAGUCAGUUGUGAAAGUUUGCGGGUCAACCGUAAAAUUGCAAUUGAUACUGGCAGGCUUGAGUACAGUCGAGGUAGGCGGAAUUCGUGGUGUAGCGGUGAAAUGCUUAGAUAUCACGAAGAACUCCGAUCGCGAAGGCAGCUUACUAAGCUGCAACUGACAUUGAUGCUCGAAAGUGUGGGUAUCAAACAGGAUUAGAUACCCGUGUAGUC